ACAAAAGUUACUAUAUGUAUUAAAACAACUCAAGAGUUCAAAAGACACGACACUGGGUUGAUAGUAUCUAUUACAAAAUGACUCUUAACACUUGGAGGACACACUCAAUUGGAGGACACACUCAACCUGUAAAGAUAGUUUCUUCGAAACAGAGAUCCACCACUUCGAUUUCACUGCAAAUCACCUGCUUACAGAUAUCAUGUUACAUAUCACCAGGA
Molecule: unclassified non-coding RNA, 218 nt
Filed under: Hevea brasiliensis (rubber tree)
Lineage: Eukaryota; Viridiplantae; Streptophyta; Magnoliopsida; Malpighiales; Euphorbiaceae
Source: RNAcentral